UCCUUUUGCUAGAUCGUAACUUUUUUUCUCUGCAAAGUGAUUUCCCCUUGUGUUAAUAAAGCUCCUAUUUAUAUGCUUAGGAAAGAACCAAUCGUGACCCUCCUUUGAAUUGUGUCCCAUAUCUUGCUUUGACUGACACGUCACAUGCAAGAAUAAUUGCAAAAUCGCGCCACUACAGGGUGUCUAUGGGGCUGCGAAAAAUACAGAGAGUACAUGCAUAUUUGAGCUUCAAAACUUGGAAUUUUUUUCUAAGUUUUUCCUUAUUUGAUAUUUGGUCUUCACAUUCUUUGGUAUGUCAAUUUCUUCAAGCAUUCUUCUUCUUGACCAUGUAAAACUAUUAAAAUUUCGCUAAAAUACUAUAAAAUAAUAAAUAAAAAUACUCAAAUGACUGAAUGUCAUCAGUUGGCAAUGGAUCUUUUGCUGGGUGAUCACAAUGUUAACGAAACAAAGUUGAAGAACAAGUCUAUGGAGUCUUGGCGUACAAAGAGAUAUGCAUAGGUCUUCAACAAGGAACACUUCAUUUUGAGCGGAUAGACUAUCUAUUUUGAUGUCCGUGUAGCAACUCUACAAUAUUUAAGUUAUCUAUUUUGAUGUAACGUCUUUUUAGUAUUGAUGCUCAUUUGGCUAAUGUCGACCUUUUUGCUAAUGUUUUGUAAGCACUUAAUUAUCCUAAGAAAUAUAGUUUGUCUAAUGUCGACCUCGUUGUGCUAAUGUUUUGUAAGAACCUAGUUAUUAUAAGAAAUGUAAUGGACUAUCCUACUACAAGAUAUAUAUCUAUAUAUUUAUAUGAAAGGCUACUAUCAUCCUUUUGUAACUUAUAUUUUGUGUUAUCUUCAAUUAAUCAAUGUGGAAUCAUAUUAUUGUCUGCAUUUAAGUAGGACCGGUUUAUUUGUUAAGUUAGAAAGAUUAUAGGGUCUUUAAGGUACUUGUGUUGCACAAGACUUGGUAUGACAUUCAAAGCAGUAAAACAAAAGGAUCAAGAUGUGUUACCUGUUCUAUUCUUUUCAAUUUACCUUCUCUAGCUUGAAGUUCUUUUUCCUUUGCCUUGAGAUCCUAAAGGUAAAAAAAAAAUGUAAUUAAAUUUUUGGCAGCAACAAACACCUUGACAUCAUAACUUUGACAUUUACUUCAACAUUUUGAUAAUUCAGUCUCAACCUUUGGCAUGUCAAGAGCAAUGCCAACAAUUGACCCACGAUCAGUUUCAUAGUUACUAUAUCAAACAAAAACUAAAAGGCCUCUAGGCACAACAAAACAACAACAACAACAUUAUGUAGGAAGCAAAGACACUAACACCAAAACUCAAACUAAAUCUUUUGGUGUCAAACCUUUUUGACUUCUGAUGUCUUCCUCGAUGACCACUGGGAGUGGUCUCUCCAUGCUGAUUCAAGUUGAAAUUAGGAAGUAAAGGCAUAAGAAAUGACAAUGACAACAAGAGUACAUAAGCUACAAGUCCACAUGAACCAAAAUGUACAAAUCUAUCAAAACUACCAACAAUCCACCUGCUCACUAGAUACAAAGAACAAAUCCAAUGCUAAUUCCCAAAAAAACGCUAUGAACAGCUUUAAACAAAUUAACCUAGGGUCCCAAUAAACUCAAUUUGAAAUAGAUAGUUUUUAAUUUCCCCUGAUUUCUUUAAUUAUCAAGGUUUCAAAGGAUAAAAGAUGUUCAUGAUAAAACAAAUCAUUAUAGACAUUAAAAUAAUAAAAAAGCAGAAUAACUCAUACAUGCUGGGUUCCAUUGAAUGUGAAAAAUGUAAAAGAUUAAAAAAAAACUAUAACAUGAUUCAAGCACCUCAAAACAUAUUUUUCAUUUUCCAAUAAAUUACUCAAACUGGUACAAAAUUGACCGAACUAAAAGAAUUGAAAUGUGUUUGGUACACUCAAAUUACUCAAAUCAUGUCUAGAUCUAAAGAAUUCAAAGUCAGUACAGGAUAACCAAGCUAUAAUUGCACAAAUCAGCGACAAAAGGGAGUUGGGUUGUCGGAGAGAACCCAAUCAGCGACAAAAGGGAUGACGAGAUCUUCGUCGUCUGGAUUCGAAGGAGUUGGGUUGUUGGAGAACAUAAUCCAAUCAGUGACAACCCCUAAUUGAUUUUUCUCGUUUCAAGAAGAUGAAGGUGCAAAGAAGAAGAGGAAUGAAGGUGCAAAGAAGGUUUAUCGGAGAUUGUUGGCACUGCGGUGAGUGGUGAUUAUUGGAGAACUCAUGGCCACCGUCGUGUAUGCAAAGAGAACAAGAUGGAAGAACUUUAACAAUUUUUUUUUUAUGCGCAAAACAGUAAACAAUUCUUUAAUAAUUAUUUUUAUUUAAAAUUUAUAAGUGACCUGUCAAUUAUUUUUAUUAUUUUUUGUAAAAACAAAAUUUAUUUGGUGACCGUUGGUAGCAGGUCAAAUGGUGAGGGAUCAUUGCUGGACCUUUUUUUGGGGGUCCUGUUGACACCAAAAUUAUAAUAUUGGUAAUAUUCAUUUCGACUUGGUGUUAUAAUUUGAAUAGAAGAAAAACUCAUUUCGAUUAGGCAUGGAACGUGAUUUGUCGAAGUUAGCCAUAUUAAGUGGAAUUCGACUAAACUAUUUUGCUGGCGAAGGCUUCAUUUUCAACAAGAAGUGACAUAUGUUUUAAGACAUCGGAAGAAGUCAUUCAAAGAGUCGAAUAUUGACAUGGUUCUUCGAUCAAGCAAACAACUCCUACGAAGAAGUUAUCGGAAGUUAUUUAAAGGGACAUGUGUCAAUCUUAGAUAUAGGAAGUUAUUAAAUAUAAGACACUUGUCAAAAUCUAAGAUGUAGGAAGUUAUUUUCUAUUUUCUAUAAAUAGUUGUAAUUUCUAUGUACAAAGGGUUGAAUCNNNNNNNN
This 2845-nucleotide long non-coding RNA is filed under the name Trifolium pratense (red clover). RNAcentral describes it as "long non-coding RNA (TPRA_LNC013365)". Lineage: Eukaryota; Viridiplantae; Streptophyta; Magnoliopsida; Fabales; Fabaceae. The record is from RNAcentral.